GAUGAAGAACGUAGUGAAAUGCGAUACGUAAUGUGAAUUGCAGAAUUCAGUGAAUCAUCGAAUCUUGAACGCAUAUUGCGCUCUCUGGUAUUCCGGAGAGCAUGCUUGUUUGAGUAUCAGUAAACACCUCAACUUCCAUAUCUUUUUUGAAAUGGGAGUUGGACUUGAGUGAUCCCAACGCUUUUCCUCACCGAAAAGUGGCGGGUUACUUGAAAUGCAGGUGCAGCUGGACUUUUCUCUGAGCUAUAAGCAUAUCUAUUUAGUCUGCCUAAAAAACAGAUUAUUACCUUUGCUGCAGCUAACAUAAAGGAGAUUAGUUCUUGUGCUGACUGAUGCAGGAUUCACAAAGACAGCUUCGGCCGACUUUGUAAACUCGAUCUCAAAUCAAGUAAGACUACCCGCUGAACUUAAGCAUAUCAAUAAGCGGAGGA
Molecule: unclassified non-coding RNA, 431 nt
Filed under: soil metagenome
Description: partial contains 5.8S ribosomal RNA, internal transcribed spacer 2, and large subunit ribosomal RNA
Rfam family: 5.8S ribosomal RNA (bases 1-119)
Source: RNAcentral